This 253-nucleotide ribosomal RNA is filed under the name uncultured bacterium. Its description in RNAcentral is "partial 16S ribosomal RNA". It matches the Rfam family "Bacterial small subunit ribosomal RNA", at positions 524 to 776 of the family's 1533-position model. The record is from RNAcentral.
UACGUAGGGUGCAAGCGUUAAUCGGAAUUACUGGGCGUAAAGCGUGCGCAGGCGGUUUUGUAAGUCUGACGUGAAAUCCCCGGGCUCAACCUGGGAAUUGCGAUGGAGACUGCAAGGCUAGAAUCUGGCAGAGGGGGGUAGAAUUCCACGUGUAGCAGUGAAAUGCGUAGAGGUGUGGAGGAACACCGAUGGCGAAGGCAGCCCCCUGGGUCAAGAUUGACGCUCAUGCACGAAAGCGUGGGGAGCAAACAGG